GAUGAACGCUGGCGGCGUGCCUAAUACAUGCAAGUCGAGCGAACAGACGAGGAGCUUGCUCCUCUGACGUUAGCGGCGGACGGGUGAGUAACACGUGGAUAACCUACCUAUAAGACUGGGAUAACUUCGGGAAACCGGAGCUAAUACCGGAUAAUAUAUUGAACCGCAUGGUUCAAUAGUGAAAGCCGGUUUUGCUGUCACUUAUAGAUGGAUCCGCGCCGCAUUAGCUAGUUGGUAAGGUAACGGCUUACCAAGGCGACGAUGAGUAGCCGAUCUGAGAGGGUGAUCGGCCACGCUGGAACAGAGACACGGUCCAGACUCCUACGGGAGGCAGCAGUAGGGAAUCUUCCGCAAUGGGCGAAAGCCUGACGGAGCAACGCCGCGUGAGUGAUGAAGGUCUUCGGAUCGUAAAACUCUGUUAUUAGGGAAGAACAAAUGUGUAAGUAACUAUGCACGUCUUGACGGUACCUAAUCAGAAAGCCACGGCUAACUACGUG
This 497-nucleotide ribosomal RNA is filed under the name uncultured bacterium. RNAcentral's name for it is "partial 16S ribosomal RNA". It matches the Rfam family "Bacterial small subunit ribosomal RNA", at positions 28 to 507 of the family's 1533-position model. The record is from RNAcentral.